RNAcentral lists this ribosomal RNA (460 nucleotides) under uncultured bacterium. RNAcentral describes it as "partial 16S ribosomal RNA". It matches the Rfam family "Bacterial small subunit ribosomal RNA", at positions 338 to 795 of the family's 1533-position model. The record is from RNAcentral.
CCUACGGGAGGCAGCAGUGAGGAAUAUUGGUCAAUGGACGGGAGUCUGAACCAGCCAAGCCGCGUGAGGGAUGACGGCACUGUGGAUUGUAAACUUCUUUUGUAAGGGAAUAAAACGGGGGACGUGUGCCUGUUUGCGUGUACCUUAUGAAUAAGCAUCGGCUAACUCCGUGCCAGCAGCCGCGGUAAUACGGAGGAUGCGAGCGUUAUCCGGAUUUAUUGGGUUUAAAGGGAGCGUAGAUGGGGUGGUAAGUCAGUUGUGAAAGUCUGCGGCUCAACCGUAGUAGUGCAUUUGAUACUGGCAGUCUUGAGUUCAGGAGAGGUAGGCGGAAUUCGUGGUGUAGCGGUGAAAUGCGUAGAUAUCACGAAGAACCCCGAUGGCGAAGGCAGCAUGCUAGACUGUGACUGACGUUGAGGCUCGAAAGCGUGGGUAUCAAACAGGAUUAGAUACCCGAGUAGUC